AAAAAGAAAGGGAGAGCUGGUGGUGAUUGCGAAAAACGGUUGGAGCACGCGUGGCUGUCUUUUGCCCAGCACGCGGCGGAAUUCAUGGAGGAUGAAAAAGAUGGUUGUCGGCAUUGAGUGUCGGGAUGACGAAAUCGCUGGGUAGGAAAGGAUUUCCGGGAGCUCAACGGUCAAAGGAGUUUGAAAACAACUUUUAGCGGGUGAUUUAAGUUGGUAAUUUUUACAGAUGUUAC
RNAcentral lists this long non-coding RNA (233 nucleotides) under Setaria italica (foxtail millet). Its description in RNAcentral is "long non-coding RNA (SITA_LNC004633)". Lineage: Eukaryota; Viridiplantae; Streptophyta; Magnoliopsida; Poales; Poaceae. The record is from RNAcentral.